Molecule: ribosomal RNA, 543 nt
Filed under: Peptostreptococcus stomatis
Lineage: Bacteria; Bacillati; Bacillota; Clostridia; Peptostreptococcales; Peptostreptococcaceae
Description: bacterial SSU rRNA
Rfam family: Bacterial small subunit ribosomal RNA
Source: RNAcentral
AAGCCUGAUGCAGCAACGCCGCGUGAACGAUGAAGGUCUUCGGAUCGUAAAGUUCUGUUGCAGGGGAAGAUAAUGACGGUACCCUGUGAGGAAGCCCCGGCUAACUACGUGCCAGCAGCCGCGGUAAUACGUAGGGGGCUAGCGUUAUCCGGAUUUACUGGGCGUAAAGGGUGCGUAGGUGGUCCUUCAAGUCGGUGGUUAAAGGCUACGGCUCAACCGUAGUAAGCCGCCGAAACUGGAGGACUUGAGUGCAGGAGAGGAAAGUGGAAUUCCCAGUGUAGCGGUGAAAUGCGUAGAUAUUGGGAGGAACACCAGUAGCGAAGGCGGCUUUCUGGACUGCAACUGACACUGAGGCACGAAAGCGUGGGUAGCAAACACGAUUAGAUACCCUGGUAGUCCACGCUGUAAACGAUGAGUACUAGGUGUCGGGGUUACCCCCCUCGGUGCCGCAGCUACGCAUGAGUACUCCGCCUGGGGGAGUACGCACGCAGUGUGAAACUCAAAGGAAUUGACGGGGACCCGCACAAUAGCGGAGCAUGUGGU